CCGGUUCCGGUUCACGCCCGAGCCCGUCGUGACGACGGGGCGCACCGACGGCGACCCGGCGACC
Molecule: regulatory RNA element, 64 nt
Organism: Micromonospora aurantiaca ATCC 27029
Lineage: Bacteria; Bacillati; Actinomycetota; Actinomycetes; Micromonosporales; Micromonosporaceae
Rfam family: L31-Actinobacteria ribosomal protein leader
Source: Rfam